This 253-nucleotide ribosomal RNA is filed under the name uncultured bacterium. Its description in RNAcentral is "partial 16S ribosomal RNA". It matches the Rfam family "Bacterial small subunit ribosomal RNA", at positions 524 to 776 of the family's 1533-position model. The record is from RNAcentral.
UACGUAGGGUGCAAGCGUUGUCCGGAAUUAUUGGGCGUAAAGAGCUCGUAGGCGGUUUGUUGCGUCGGCUGUGAAAUCCCGAGGCUCAACCUCGGGUCUGCAGUCGAUACGAGCAAACUAGAGUGUUGCAGGGGAGACUGGAAUUUCUGGUGUAGCGGUGAAAUGCGCAGAUAUCAGGAGGAACACCGGUGGCGAAGGCGGGUCUCUGGGCAACAACUGACGCUGAGGAGCGAAGGCCAGGGGAGCAAACGGG